GCUCCAAUUUUAUUUCUCUUUGCAGGCGGUUGGGAUCAGUGCACUUGUUGCAAUUUACUUUAUAGUCCGCUGGGUGAAAACAAGAGGCAGAAGAAAAGCAAAGAAGUAUGGUGUUAUCCAUGGGACAGGAGAGAUGGAGCCAUUAGAGAAGCACAUUGAUGAAGAUGAAGAAGACAUCGCACUCUUUGAUGUGAAAGAUUCGAAACGACCAAAAUGAAGUGCAGUCAAGAUAAUGCUACAGCUUAAUAGAAAUAAGAUCGUCUAACAGAACCGAUAGAUUAUUUGGAAAUAGAUAACUAAACCCACAUUUUCAAAGGUUAAUUACGGUAUCAAUUGUUUAAGUUGUUUUUGACCUCAAGGUAUUACUUAUAUAAAUGCAUUGCAUUUGAGUUUUGUUUUGUGUCAGUAUCAAGCUUGACUUUAAAUCAGCUGCCAGGAACAUAUAGUUGAUCGAUAUGAAUAGCAAUCUUUGAACAACCAGCCCAGAUAUGUGCCCUGUUUAUAUGCAUGUACCUCAAUGCUAGUACAGUGUUACGCAAUCUUUAGCUCUGUAUUU
This is a long non-coding RNA of Orbicella faveolata, 556 nucleotides long. The record is from RefSeq and is a predicted model, not a curated record. NCBI's taxonomy places the organism in Eukaryota, Metazoa, Cnidaria, Anthozoa, Scleractinia, Merulinidae.